Equus caballus (horse) is the source of this 1235-nucleotide long non-coding RNA. RefSeq lists it as uncharacterized. NCBI's taxonomy places the organism in Eukaryota, Metazoa, Chordata, Mammalia, Perissodactyla, Equidae. The record is from RefSeq and is a predicted model, not a curated record.
GCCACUGCCAUUGCACAUUUCAUCCAAGUCAUGGUCAGCCCAAGCUGCAGUCUGGAAGCCAUUCUUGGGGGGAGGGGUGCAGGCCAGGUCAAGGCCAGUCACCGGUUUUCCAUGAGAUCGAUGAUUUAAGAAACUUAACAGAGCCUCAGGCAACAAAGGGAAGUUCCAAGGGCGGCUCAUUAUUAAUUAAAUGGUGUUUCCCCUGAAGGUGGGCAUCACAUCCCAUCAAUAUUUAAGCCAAGGAGACACACACUGCCCUGCAACCCACUGGUCAGCUGUGGGGUUUGCCAGGAAGCAAGAACGCCCUGCACGGAGGCCUUGCCCGUGUGACAGUGACAUGCUCCCGCCUCUGCCUUCAAUCAUUUAAUUCUCUUUCCCUUCAGCUCAAUUAGAGUUGCUAAGUCAUUCUUCAAGACCAUUUCUCCAUCACCUGCUUUGGUGAGAUGCAUUCGAGAAUGACCAUGGCUCAUUCAGCCUGCCCAUUUUACAACCCACAGAAUACAGACUGGAAGAAGGCUAUGCUCUGGGGUGCCCCACCGGGACCACGCUCAGCACCUCUGAGAACCACUGCGAAACUCUGUGGUGUUUUGGAGGCCACUCUUAAGAAAUUCCGGCACAGCUGACUCGCAACCAAUUGUGAUGUCUGUGUCCUAAACUGGCCCGGACAAAAGAAUCCUGAGGGGUUUCUCAAGUACACAGAAUCCCUGAGGGGCGGCCUGCGGUAAUUCAAGAAGCAGGAUAGAACCCUGUGGCCGACAUCUGGUUGCUCAGCAUCACUUCUGCAGCCCUGGCUGAAGGGAAACUUCCUUACAUGAAAUAUAUCCAAUCAGGGUUCUUUUUAUGAUUGUCACAAAUCCACCACCAACAUCCAGAAGCCAGAACUUUGGUCUGAUGAUUUCACCAAUUUAGUUAAAAAGUGUCCAGUGACGAAUCCUGAGCCGAGAGCUACUGCAAUGCAACUUUACAACCUCCUUUUAUCAAGAGUGUAAAACCAGUGUCAGUUUCAAGAGCCCUGAUGCAGAAACCAUGGAGAGCAAAUCUAACAGACAUGGACAAUGGCAGCAAGAAUCAGAAGAGGACCAAGCGAAUUCGGGUGGUCAUUAUCCCGAAAAGUUAAUUUUUUUCCCCUUGGGUCCUUUUUCUAUAACUUUGUUUUCUUUCUUCAAAUAUAUGAAUAGCACUUAGUGUUUUAUUACACAAGUGGGGUUUAUUUGUUCAUUAAAUCUCAAAAUAUA